RNAcentral lists this ribosomal RNA (489 nucleotides) under uncultured bacterium. RNAcentral's name for it is "partial 16S ribosomal RNA". It matches the Rfam family "Bacterial small subunit ribosomal RNA", at positions 28 to 507 of the family's 1533-position model. The record is from RNAcentral.
GAUGAACGCUAGCUACAGGCUUAACACAUGCAAGUCGAGGGGCAGCAUGAUUGAAGCUUGCUUCAAUCGAUGGCGACCGGCGCACGGGUGAGUAACACGUAUCCAACCUGCCGAUAACUCGGGGAUAGCCUUUCGAAAGAAAGAUUAAUACCCGAUAGUAUUGUAUUUCCGCAUGGUUUCACUAUUAAAGAACUUCGGUUAUCGAUGGGGAUGCGUUCCAUUAGAUAGUUGGCGGGGUAACGGCCCACCAAGUCAACGAUGGAUAGGGGUUCUGAGAGGAAGGUCCCCCACAUUGGAACUGAGACACGGUCCAAACUCCUACGGGAGGCAGCAGUGAGGAAUAUUGGUCAAUGGACGAGAGUCUGAACCAGCCAAGUAGCGUGAAGGAUGACUGCCCUAUGGGUUGUAAACUUCUUUUAUACGGGAAUAAAGUGGAGUAUGCAUACUCCUUUGUAUGUACCGUAUGAAUAAGGAUCGGCUAACUCCGUG